Molecule: long non-coding RNA, 466 nt
Filed under: Elaeis guineensis (African oil palm)
Lineage: Eukaryota; Viridiplantae; Streptophyta; Magnoliopsida; Arecales; Arecaceae
Description: long non-coding RNA (EGUI_LNC063417)
Source: RNAcentral
UGGGUCCUGGUCCAAGACAUGAGUCAGUUUCUCGAAACCCAGAAUAAUUCUGUAGUUCCUCAACCUGUCCUUGAAAUUAGGUCCAGUCAAUCUGUGGGUGUCUAGUAUUUUGAUCAGGGGGUUGGACGCAGACAUAUUUUCUGUAGAGAGUCAAAAGUUUUUAGUUAGAUUUUGUAAUCAGACUUAACCAAUUUAUUUAGAGGUUUUAUUUUUAAAUAAAUUAGGCUCCCACUAUUUUCUCAAAUCCCUACACUCCCUAGGUAGAGAUGUGAAAAUCUCCGUGAUUAGUGAUUUCUAGUGGGUGGUGCGGUCUCACCAACUGGCUCACCACCUCACCUAAUAGUUAUUGGUGAUGGGUCAACCGAUGAGUGGACAACUCUUGUCCAAUGAUUCUCUAAUCAUGGUGCACCCAAAACUUGGUCUCUAAUUCAUAAAGCUCACCGUGUCCGAAAUAUUGCUCCAAUCC